This 696-nucleotide ribosomal RNA is filed under the name uncultured bacterium. Its description in RNAcentral is "bacterial SSU rRNA". It matches the Rfam family "Bacterial small subunit ribosomal RNA", at positions 111 to 823 of the family's 1533-position model. The record is from RNAcentral.
UAACGCGUGAGGAACCUGCCUCAAAGAGGGGGACAACGGUUGGGAACGACUGCUAAUACCGCAUAAGCCCACGGCUCGGCAUCGAGCAGGGGGAAAAGGAGCAAUCCGCUUUGAGAUGGCCUCGCGUCCGAUUAGCUAGUUGGUGAGGUAACGGCCCACCAAGGCGACGAUCGGUAGCCGGACUGAGAGGUUGAACGGCCACAUUGGGACUGAGACACGGCCCAGACUCCUACGGGAGGCAGCAGUGGGGAAUAUUGCACAAUGGGGGAAACCCUGAUGCAGCGACGCCGCGUGGAGGAAGAAGGUCUUCGGAUUGUAAACUCCUGUUGUUGAGGAAGAUAAUGACGGUGCUCAACAAGGAAGUGACGGCUAACUACGUGCCAGCAGCCGCGGUAAAACGUAGGUCACAAGCGUUGUCCGGAAUUACUGGGUGUAAAGGGAGCGCAGGCGGGAGAACAAGUUGGAAGUGAAAUCCAUGGGCUCAACCCAUGAACUGCUUUCAAAACUGUUUUUCUUGAGUAGUGCAGAGGUAGGCGGAAUUCCCGGUGUAGCGGUGGAAUGCGUAGAUAUCGGGAGGAACACCAGUGGCGAAGGCGGCCUACUGGGCACCAACUGACGCUGAGGCUCGAAAGUGUGGGUAGCAAACAGGAUUAGAUACCCUGGUAGUCCACACCGUAAACGAUGAUUACUAGGUGU